This 459-nucleotide ribosomal RNA is filed under the name uncultured bacterium. RNAcentral's name for it is "partial 16S ribosomal RNA". It matches the Rfam family "Bacterial small subunit ribosomal RNA", at positions 338 to 795 of the family's 1533-position model. The record is from RNAcentral.
CCUACGGGAGGCAGCAGUGAGGAAUAUUGGUCAAUGGACGAGAGUCUGAACCAGCCAAGUAGCGUGAAGGAUGACUGCCCUAUGGGUUGUAAACUUCUUUUAUAUGGGAAUAAAACGUUCCACGUGUGGGAGUUUGUAUGUACCAUAUGAAUAAGGAUCGGCAAACUUCGUGCCAGCAGCCGCGGUAAUACGGAGGAUCCGAGGGUUAUCCGGAUUUAUUGGGUUUAAAGGGAGCGUAGGUGGUUGGUUAAGUCAGUGGUAAAAGUUUGGGGCUAAACCGUAAAUUGCAGUUGAAACUGGCAGUCUUGAGUGCAGUAGAGGUGGGCGGAAUUCGUGGUGUAGCGGUGAAAUGCUUAGAUAUCACGAAGAACUCCGAUUGCGAAGGCAGUUCACUGGACUGCAACUGACGCUGAGGCUCGAAAGUGUGGGUAUCAAACAGGAUUAGAUACCCUAGUAGUC